AGAUGUAAGAGUGGAGCAGAAAGUAUCAGUAGCACUGUUAGCAUCCAAAGAUGCAAACAGUUUAGGGGAAGGAAGUGAAGAUGAAACCAUUGCAGAUAGCCGGGAGGGUGAAAGUGUGCGUAGGUUACGUCGAAAGAUGACAUGUGGAGGGGUGGUGACCAUAGACCUGCAUUAUACGAGUCACAGACAAGAACAGUUUGACCUAAAAAUAUCAAAAUGGAAACAAAGACACCUACAUCUUGGAUGCCCUUGAGUGUGGGUAGAUGCCAAAUCCUGCUGGAAAAUGAAAUCAGCAUCUUCAAAAAGCUGGUCAGCAGAAGGAAGCAUCAGGUGCUCCAAAAUGUUAUGGUAAACGGGUGCAGUGACUUUACUUUUCACAAUGGAUAAUCAGCAGAUGACAUUGAAACCCAAAUCAUCACAGACUGUGGGAACUUACUCUGGACAUCAAGCAACUUGGGCUAUAGCUUCUCGACCCUUCCUCCAGACCCCAAGACCCUAGUUUCUAAAUGAAAUACAAAACUUGCUUGUAUCUUAACAUCUUAAAAGAGGACUUUGGACCAUAGUCCAGUUUUUCUUCUCCUUAGCCCAGGUAAGACGCCUCUGAUGUUGUCUGUGGUUCAGGAGUGGCUUAACAAUAAGACUACGACAACUGCAGGCAAAUUCCUUGACACGUCUGUAUGCCUUGACCACAGCCUCAGUCCAUUCCUUGUGAAGUUCACUCAAAUUCGUAAAUUGACUUUGCUUCACAAUCCUCAUAAGGCGGUGGUUCUCUAGGUUGGUUGUGCAUCUUCUUCUUCCACAUUUUGUCCUUCCACUCAACUUUCUGUUAACAUGCUCGGAUACAGCACUCUGUGAACAGCCAGUUUCUUUGGCACUGAAUGUUUGUGGCUUACCCUCCUUGUGAUGGGUGUCAAUGAUUGUCUUCGGGACAACUGUCAGAUCAGCAGUCUUCCCCAUGAUUGUGUAGCCUAGUCAACCAAACUGAGAGACCAUUUUGAAGGCUCAGGAAACCUUUGCAGGUGUUUUGAGUUGAUUCGCUGAUUGGUAUGUCUCCAUAUUCUAAUUUGUUGAGAUUUACAAUUGGUGGGUUUUUUAUUAAAUGUAAGCCAAAAUCAUGUUUACCACUAGGACUUUAUCAGCAACAGAGUGAAAAAUCAUCCCACCUGACCGGAAGUCUGAGGCUUCAUGUACAGGUGCUGGUCAUAUAAUUAGAAUAUCAUCAAAAAGUAGAUUUCACUAAUUCCAUUCAAGUCAAACUUGUAUAUUAUAUUCAUUACUC
This is a long non-coding RNA of Carassius gibelio (silver crucian carp), 1279 nucleotides long. RefSeq lists it as uncharacterized. The transcript has 3 exons. The record is from RefSeq and is a predicted model, not a curated record. Lineage: Eukaryota; Metazoa; Chordata; Actinopteri; Cypriniformes; Cyprinidae.